RNAcentral lists this ribosomal RNA (1516 nucleotides) under Achromobacter xylosoxidans. Its description in RNAcentral is "bacterial SSU rRNA". It matches the Rfam family "Bacterial small subunit ribosomal RNA". Lineage: Bacteria; Pseudomonadati; Pseudomonadota; Betaproteobacteria; Burkholderiales; Alcaligenaceae. The record is from RNAcentral.
GAGUUUGAUCCUGGCUCAGAUUGAACGAUAGCGGGAUGCCUUACACAUGCAAGUCGAACAACGGCAGCACGGACUUCGGUCUGGUGGCGAGUGGCGGACGGGUGAGUAAUGUAUCGGAACGUGCCUAGUAGCGGGGGAUAACUACGCGAAAGCGUAGCUAAUACCGCAUACGCCCUACGGGGGGGAAAGCAGGGGAUCGCAAGACCUUGCACUAUUAGAGCGGCCGAUAUCGGAUUAGCUAGUUGUUGGGGGUAACGGCUCACCCCAGGCGACGAUCCGUAGCUGGUUUGAGAGGACGACCAGCCACACUGGGUCUGAGACACGGCCCAGACUCCUACGGGAGGCAGCAGUGGGGAAUUUUGGACAAUGGGGGAAACCCUGAUCCAGCCAUCCCGCGUGUGCGAUGAAGGCCUUCGGGUUGUAAAAAGCACUUUUGGCAGGAAAGAAACGUCAUGGGCUAAUACCCCGUGAAACUGACGGUACCUGCAGAAUAAGCACCGGCUAACUACGUGCCAGCAGCCGCGGUAAUACGUAGGGUGCAAGCGUUAAUCGGAAUUACUGGGCGUAAAGCGUGCGCAGGCGGUUCGGAAAGAAAGAUGUGAAAUCCCCCCAGAGCUUAACUUUGGAACUGCAUUUUUAACUACCGAGCUAGAGUGUGUCAGAGGGAGGUGGAAUUCCCGCGUGUAGCAGUGAAAUGCGUAGAUAUGCGGAGGAACACCAGUGGCGAAGGCAGCCUCCUGGGAUAACACUGACGCUCAUGCACGAAAGCGUGGGGAGCAAACAGGAUUAGAUACCCUGGUAGUCCACGCCCUAAACGAUGUCAAGCUAGCUGUUGGGGCCUUCGGGCCUUAGUAGCGCAGCUAACGCGUGAAGUUGACCGCCUGGGGAGUACGGUCGCAAGAUUAAAACUCAAAGGAAUUGAUCGGGGACCCGCACAACGCGGUGGAUGAUGUGGAUUAAUUCGAUGCAACGCGAAAAACCUUACCUACCCUUGACAUGUCUGGAAUUCCGAAGAGAUUUGGAAGUGCUCGCAAGCAGAACCGGAACACAGGUGCUGCAUGGCUGUCGUCAGCUCGUGUCAUGCGAUGUUGGGUUAAGUCCCGCAACGAGCGCAACCCUUGUCAUUAGUUGCUACGAAAGGGCACUCUAAUGAGACUGCCGGUGACAAACCGGAGGAAGGUGGGGAUGACGUCAAGUCCUCAUGGCCCUUAUGGGUAGGGCUUCACACGUCAUACAAUGGUCGGGACAGAGGGUCGCCAACCCGCGAGGGGGAGCCAAUCCCAGAAACCCGAUCGUAGUCCGGAUCGCAGUCUGCAACUCGACUGCCGUGAAGUCGGAAUCGCUAGUAAGCACCGGAUCAGCAUGUCGCGGUGAAUACGUUCCCGGGUCUUGUACACACCGCCCGUCACACCAUGGGAGUGGGUUUUACCAGCAAGUAGUUAGCCUAACCGUAAGGGGGGCGAUUACCACGGUAGGAUUCAUGACUGGGGUGAAGUCGUAACAAGGUAGCCGUAUC